RNAcentral lists this ribosomal RNA (832 nucleotides) under uncultured bacterium. RNAcentral describes it as "bacterial SSU rRNA". It matches the Rfam family "Bacterial small subunit ribosomal RNA", at positions 64 to 896 of the family's 1533-position model. The record is from RNAcentral.
GAGGGGCAGCGGGGUAGCAAUACUGCCGGCGACCGGCGCACGGGUGCGUAACACGUAUGCAACCUACCUUAAACUGGGAGAUAGCCCGGGGAAACUCGGAUUAAUACCCCAUAAUACAUUUGGAACACAUGUUUUGAUUGUUAAAGAUUUAUCGGUUUAAGAUGGGCAUGCGUUCGAUUAGCUAGUUGGCGAGGUAAUGGCUCACCAAGGCUACGAUCGAUAGGGGGUCUGAGAGGAUGAUCCCCCACACUGGUACUGAGAUACGGACCAGACUCCUACGGGAGGCAGCAGUAGGGAAUAUUGGUCAAUGGAGGCAACUCUGAACCAGCCAUGCCGCGUGUAGGAAGAAGGCGUUCUGCGUUGUAAACUACUUUUGAUUGGGAACAAAUGACUCUUGCGAGAGUAGCUGAGUGUACCAAUAGAAUAAGCCACGGCUAACUACGUGCCAGCAGCCGCGGUAAUACGUAGGUGGCAAGCGUUGUCCGGAUUUAUUGGGUUUAAAGGGUGCGUAGGCGGCUUAAUAAGUCAGUGGUGAAAGCCGAUCGCUUAACGAUCGAACUGCCAUUGAUACUGCUAGGCUUGAGUAUAGUUGAGGUAGGCGGAAUUGACAGUGUAGCGGUGAAAUGCAUAGAUAUUGUCAAGAACACCAAUUGCGAAGGCAGCUUACUAAAGUAUAACUGACGCUGAGGCACGAAAGUGCGGGGAUCAAACAGGAUUAGAUACCCUGGUAGUCCGCACCGUAAACGAUGAUCACUCGCUGUGUGCGAUAAACAGUACGCGGGCCAAGCGAAAGCGAUAAGUGAUCCACCUGGGGAGUACGCCCGCAAGGGUG